Cyanistes caeruleus (blue tit) is the source of this 676-nucleotide long non-coding RNA. RefSeq lists it as uncharacterized. The record is from RefSeq and is a predicted model, not a curated record. Lineage: Eukaryota; Metazoa; Chordata; Aves; Passeriformes; Paridae.
GGGAUGGAGCAGGCACACAGCCAUCAGGACUGGUGAGCCUCAGCUCCAUCCCAGGAGGGAUACUGGCUUUUCUGCUGCAAGGACACACGUUGGGACAGGGCCUGAAAACCCACCAGUGGCAGUAACAGUGGAUAGUUGUUAUAAAACACACAUGCAAUGUGGCUUUGGUUAAAGCUGUUUCCUGGAGGACUAAAGGAAAGUGGGCAGAAAACAAGGGCAGAUCAGGCACCUUCUGCAAGGUCACAGCAGCUCUUGCAAGGUGGUGGCAAAGGCUCUAUCACUGGGAACUGGGCUCAAAGCUUAAUGCAUCAACUAACAGGGCCUGAUCUCUGUUUGAAUGUCACGACACAGGAGGAAAAAUCCCAUCCAACGCAAGCCAUGAGUGAGAGCAUGAAGCCACAGCCAGACCCAGAUGAGGCUAUUUGUUCUGAAAGAAGUACCAUGUGAAGCAGAAGAAUGACCUACCAAAGCAGGGAAAUUAGAAUGUAGAAGAUGGAUGGAGCUGUAAAUCAGGUCUGCCUCCAAGAGCAGCUAGGAAGAGAGAGGAGGGAGCCAAGCACCGUACCCGCCCUAGGAGCUCCGGUCCCCUGGGAGGGCUGGAAUCCGAUGCCGGCUGGCGCUGGGAACACCCACAUUCAGCUAACCUGACUGCAGCGUUCACUGCAGGAUAAUUGGC